RNAcentral lists this ribosomal RNA (406 nucleotides) under uncultured bacterium. RNAcentral describes it as "partial 16S ribosomal RNA". It matches the Rfam family "Bacterial small subunit ribosomal RNA", at positions 30 to 526 of the family's 1533-position model. The record is from RNAcentral.
AUUGAACGCUGGCGGCAGGCCUAACACAUGCAAGUCGAGGGACCGGCGCACGGGUGAGUAACACGUAUCCAACCUGCCCUUUACUCGGGGAUAGCCUUUCGAAAGAAAGAUUAAUACCCGAUAUAAAGGAUGGGGAUGCGUUCCAUUCGGUUGUUGGUGAGGUACCGGCUCACCAAGCCUUCGAUGGAUCGGGGUUCGGAGAGGAAGGGACCCCACAUUGGAACUGAGACACGGUCCAAACUAGUACGGGAGGAAGAAGUGAGGAAUAUUGGGCAAUGGGCGCUAGCCUGAACCAGCCAAGUAGCGUGAAGGAUGAAGGCUUAUGGGUCGUAAACUUCUGUUAUAUAAGAAUAUGUAUUAUAUGAAUAAGGAUCGGCUAACUCCGUGCCAGCAGCCGCGGUAAUUC